GAAUGAAUGAGCAGGGGCCUGUCCUGGGCUAAGAGCGUCGGGUUCCAACAGGAGCAACACAGGCCACGCUCGCUGCAGCCCCUCUCCUGGUUGUCUGAGCAACAGGGACACUUGUGUUAAAGUGCUCUGGGAGGUGACUGGUGCCAAGACAGCUGGCGGGACCGUGCUGCCUUCUUUUGAGCUGCUCGAGGCCCCGGCUCACUGCUGUUUGGCAGGGGAAUGGCGUCUUUGAGAAAGCAGGAAGGCCAGCUGACACAUUUGGCUCUGUUUCCAACUGACAAUCCAGAGCCUAAACUGAAAUGCCCUGCUCUCCAGUUUCAUAAAGCUUUUCUCUUCACUCAGCGAAAGGCGGAACAGAUAGGCUUGGACUCCAGGAGCCUGGGGUCUUGAGGAACCACCGCACCCCCACCGUUAGCCCAACUAAGGAUCGGGAGCAUCACAGGCUCAGCCAGAGGGAUGGGGUGUGCGGCCACUUUUGAGGACAGCGUGAUGAAGGCUGCUCUCACUCAAAGACACACUUCCCUUUUUGACGCGUUGCUGGGACUUCCAGCAAUGCUCUCCUCCAAAGCCUGAAAGUCCAUGACCAUUGUUGAAAAGACACAGUAAUCGUGGUAGGAUCCCAGACCCUGGGCCAGGCACUGCUUGGAUGAGCUCUUCACUCCUCACAUCAGCCCCACGGAGAGACCGCGGGCAGCCUGACCUAGGCCUAAGAGCGUGGGCUCUGGAGACUGACGGCUGUUUGACCCUGGCUUUCAGAUUGUCCUCCCACUCCAGCCUUUCCUCGUACAGCUUCUUCUCGGCCAGAUGCUCCUGCAGCUUUUCCUUCAGCAAGGACUGCUGAGUCUCCUGGAAAGUGUCCAUCUUGAUCUGAAAUGAGAGGAGAGGCUGGCCUGUUGGAGAGCAGAGUCGAGUCGCUUCAGCUGAGGCCAGCCAAGAUCAACCAAAAGCCAGUGAUGCCCAGAUGUGUGAGCACGCCCAUCCAAGAUGAGCAGAGCCAUCUAGCUGCUGACCUCAAAUACAUGAGCAAUAAACACCUCUGAAGUUUCUUGGUUAUUUAUUAUACAGCAUUAUUAUGGCAAUAGGUAUUGGAGUGAGAUAAUCCCUAAGCAUUGUUUGGCCUAUAAAAUGUUGCUUUUAUGUGGUAUUUGGUAAAUCUUCUGCCUGUACUGCAGAUAGCUGUACUUCUUUU
Long non-coding RNA from Choloepus didactylus (southern two-toed sloth), 1189 nucleotides. RefSeq lists it as uncharacterized. The transcript is spliced from 4 exons. Lineage: Eukaryota; Metazoa; Chordata; Mammalia; Pilosa; Megalonychidae. The record is from RefSeq and is a predicted model, not a curated record.